RNAcentral lists this long non-coding RNA (220 nucleotides) under Elaeis guineensis (African oil palm). RNAcentral describes it as "long non-coding RNA (EGUI_LNC009327)". Lineage: Eukaryota; Viridiplantae; Streptophyta; Magnoliopsida; Arecales; Arecaceae. The record is from RNAcentral.
GUGGACUUCAGUGGAAUCCCUUGUGGCAGGGGGAGCGCUUCGACAGGACGCUUCCAUCGGGAGAUAAAGACGUCAAGGUGCAUCUCAUUGCAUAAAACAAGACAAAAAUGAGGGGAGCAGAGUGGAGAAGCCCUCCAAAAGGAGAGACCCAAUUUUAUUAAUUGAAUAUUUCUUGAGGAAGGAGGAAAAAAAAUUGCAAUGAAAGAAAAAUACAAGGUCA